UGCUCUGGUGGCCCAGUGAGUAAAGCGUCCGCCUCGGAUGCGGGAGUUCUUGGGUUCUAUCCCCGCUCGAGUCA
Potamilus streckersoni is the source of this 74-nucleotide non-coding RNA. The record is from the annotation of a GenBank genome assembly. Lineage: Eukaryota; Metazoa; Mollusca; Bivalvia; Unionida; Unionidae.